This 200-nucleotide ribosomal RNA is filed under the name uncultured bacterium. Its description in RNAcentral is "partial 16S ribosomal RNA". It matches the Rfam family "Bacterial small subunit ribosomal RNA", at positions 30 to 232 of the family's 1533-position model. The record is from RNAcentral.
AUUGAACGCUGGCGGCAGGCCUAACUCAUGCAAGUCGAGCGCGAAAGUUCUUCGGAAUGAGUAAAGCGGCGGACGGGUGAGUAAUACAUGGGAAUCUGCCUGGUAGUGGGGGACAACGUUUCGAAAGGAACGCUAAUACCGCAUACGCCCUACGGGGGAAAGGGGGGGAGUCUUCGGACCUCUCGCUAUCAGAUGAGCCC